RNAcentral lists this unclassified non-coding RNA (21 nucleotides) under Mus musculus (house mouse). RNAcentral's name for it is "oocyte_clustered_small_RNA3074". Lineage: Eukaryota; Metazoa; Chordata; Mammalia; Rodentia; Muridae. The record is from RNAcentral.
AAGAAUGCAAGGUCCAAAAGU